AUCAAGAUAUGUAAUUGAAAACUUCACAAUUCUUAUCAGCAAUUGAAAUCAGAAUUCAAACUUACAGAAGAAUUGUCGAAUUGGAUUCAUCACAUUUUUACUUAAAACCAAAGGUUAGGCUGCUGAUCAGUCACGCACUAACCCCGAACAUGGCACACAGCCCUGUUCUCUAUACUGGAUCCAAGGCACACAUUGGCCUAUAAUUGACCACGAAUCUGGUCUGACCACGAAUCUGGUCCACAUAUUUUAUAAAAACUAAUCCAAUUCUAACAAUUUAAGUCAAUAGACAAUCAAUCAAUAGAACAAAAUCAUAAUCAUUAUCAACAACAUAAAUAUUCCAAACCAACUUUUAAGAAUCAUCCUUUUAUAAAUCAAAAUUCAAGAAGUCCUUAACUAUUCAGUAUCCUCCAUCAUCGGCUAAGUUAACUAGUCUGACAAUGGUGGGUUGAAUAAUCAAGAAGAUCUCAAUUCAUUCUAAGUUCUAACUAUCACUGAGCAACACAUGCUUCAAUGACAAUCUGAACUUCGAAUUAGUUUGUAAAGCUGACAUUUUUAAAAUCUUGAGACUGGAAAGAAGGAUCAGAAUACUUGUAAUAGAAAUUGAGAGUAAUUAGGUGUUUGGCUUUUCAAAAUUUUGAAGAAGAAAACAAGCAUGGGUUUCAUUCUCAGAAGUAAGGGUGUAUUUGAGAAGGGUUUCAGUAUAAACAAUAUCAUAAUCUUGACAGAAUAAUCAGAACAUGCAAUAUAUAUAUGAGGAAGGA
Molecule: long non-coding RNA, 761 nt
Filed under: Daucus carota (carrot)
Lineage: Eukaryota; Viridiplantae; Streptophyta; Magnoliopsida; Apiales; Apiaceae
Description: long non-coding RNA (DCAR_LNC001995)
Source: RNAcentral